GAUGAACGCUGGCGGCGUGCCUAAUACAUGCAAGUCGAGCGAACAGACGAGGAGCUUGCUCCUCUGACGUUAGCGGCGGACGGGUGAGUAACACGUGGAUAACCUACCUAUAAGACUGGGAUAACUUCGGGAAACCGGAGCUAAUACCGGAUAAUAUAUUGAACCGCAUGGUUCAAUAGUUAAAGACGGUUUUGCUGUCACUUAUAGAUGGAUCCGCGCCGCAUUAGCUAGUUGGUAAGGUAACGGCUUACCAAGGCGACGAUGCGUAGCCGACCUGAGAGGGUGAUCGGCCACACUGGAACUGAGACACGGUCCAGACUCCUACGGGAGGCAGCAGUAGGGAAUCUUCCGCAAUGGGCGAAAGCCUGACGGAGCAACGCCGCGUGAGUGAUGAAGGUCUUCGGAUCGUAAAACUCUGUUAUUAGGGAAGAACAAAUGUGUAAGUAACUAUGCACGUCUUGACGGUACCUAAUCAGAAAGCCACGGCUAACUACGUG
Molecule: ribosomal RNA, 497 nt
Filed under: uncultured bacterium
Lineage: Bacteria
Description: partial 16S ribosomal RNA
Rfam family: Bacterial small subunit ribosomal RNA
Source: RNAcentral